This 269-nucleotide ribosomal RNA is filed under the name uncultured bacterium. Its description in RNAcentral is "partial 16S ribosomal RNA". It matches the Rfam family "Bacterial small subunit ribosomal RNA", at positions 793 to 1055 of the family's 1533-position model. The record is from RNAcentral.
GUCCACGCUGUAAACGAUGAGUACUAGGUGUCGGGGGUAUCGACCCCUCGGUGCCGCAGCUAACGCGAUAAGUACUCCGCCUGGGGACGUACGGCCGGCAAGGCUAAAACUACAAAGGAAUUGACGGGGGCCCCGGCACAAGCAGCGGAGCGUGUGGUUUAAUUCGACGCAACGCGAAGAACCUUACCUGGGCUUGACAUGCGUGUGGUACGAGUGGGAAACCAUGAGGACCCGCAAGGGAGCACGCACAGAUGCUGCAUGGCUGUCGU